This 432-nucleotide ribosomal RNA is filed under the name uncultured bacterium. RNAcentral's name for it is "bacterial SSU rRNA". It matches the Rfam family "Bacterial small subunit ribosomal RNA", at positions 30 to 461 of the family's 1533-position model. The record is from RNAcentral.
AUUGAACGCUGGCGGCAUGCCUUACACAUGCAAGUCGAACGGUAACGGGUCCUUCGGGAUGCCGACGAGUGGCGAACGGGUGAGUAAUAUAUCGGAACGUGCCCAGUAGUGGGGGAUAACUGCUCGAAAGAGCAGCUAAUACCGCAUACGACCUGAGGGUGAAAGGGGGGGAUCGCAAGACCUCUCGCUAUUGGAGCGGCCGAUAUCAGAUUAGCUAGUUGGUGGGGUAAAGGCCUACCAAGGCUACGAUCUGUAGUUGGUCUGAGAGGACGACCAGCCACACUGGGACUGAGACACGGCCCAGACUCCUACGGGAGGCAGCAGUGGGGAAUUUUGGACAAUGGGCGCAAGCCUGAUCCAGCAAUGCCGCGUGCAGGAGGAAGGCCUUCGGGUUGUAACGUAGCGUUUUGUUCGUAGGGAAGAAAGUACUUC